RNAcentral lists this ribosomal RNA (1235 nucleotides) under Mesorhizobium sp. RNAcentral describes it as "partial 23S ribosomal RNA". It matches the Rfam family "Bacterial large subunit ribosomal RNA", at positions 247 to 1527 of the family's 2925-position model. Lineage: Bacteria; Pseudomonadati; Pseudomonadota; Alphaproteobacteria; Hyphomicrobiales; Phyllobacteriaceae. The record is from RNAcentral.
CGGCGAGCGAACGGGGAGCAGCCCAGAGUCUGAAUCAGCUUGUGUGUUAGUGGAACGGUCUGGAAAGUCCGGCGAUACAGGGUGAUAGUCCCGUACACGAAAACACACUUGCUGUGAACUCGAAGAGUAGGGCGGGACACGUGGUAUCCUGUCUGAAUAUGGGGGGACCAUCCUCCAAGGCUAAAUACUCCUGACUGACCGAUAGUGAACCAGUACCGUGAGGGAAAGGCGAAAAGAACCCCGGCGAGGGGAGUGAAAAAGAACCUGAAACCGUGUACGUACAAGCAGUGGGAGCCUACUUGUUAGGUGACUGCGUACCUUUUGUAUAAUGGGUCAGCGACUUAUAUUCUGUAGCAAGGUUAACCGUAUAGGGGAGCCGAAGGGAAACCGAGUCUUAACUGGGCGUUAAGUUGCAGGGUAUAGACCCGAAACCCGGUGAUCUAGCCAUGGGCAGGUUGAAGGUUGGGUAACACUAACUGGAGGACCGAACCGACUAAUGUUGAAAAAUUAGCGGAUGACUUGUGGCUGGGGGUGAAAGGCCAAUCAAACCGGGAGAUAGCUGGUUCUCCCCGAAAGCUAUUUAGGUAGCGCCUCGUGAAUUCAUCUUCGGGGGUAGAGCACUGUUUCGGCUAGGGGGCCAUCCCGGCUUACCAACCCGAUGCAAACUACGAAUACCGAAGAAUGUUAUCACGGGAGACACACGGCGGGUGCUAACGUCCGUCGUGAAGAGGGAAACAACCCAGACCGCCAGCUAAGGUCCCAAAGUCAUGGUUAAGUGGGAAACGAUGUGGGAAGGCACAGACAGCCAGGAUGUUGGCUUAGAAGCAGCCAUCAUUUAAAGAAAGCGUAAUAGCUCACUGGUCGAGUCGGCCUGCGCGGAAGAUGUAACGGGGCUAAACCAUGCACCGAAGCUGCGGCAGCGACACUAUGUGUUGUUGGGUAGGGGAGCGUUCUGUAAGCCGUUGAAGGUGGCCUGUGAGGGUUGCUGGAGGUAUCAGAAGUGCGAAUGCUGACAUAAGUAACGAUAAUGCGGGUGAAAAGCCCGCACGCCGGAAGACCAAGGGUUCCUGUCCAACGUUAAUCGGGGCAGGGUGAGUCGACCCCUAAGGCGAGGCCGAAAGGCGUAGUCGAUGGGAAACAGGUUAAUAUUCCUGUACUUGGUGUUACUGCGAAGGGGGGACGGAGAAGGCUAUGUUAGCCGGGCGACGGUUGUCCCGGUUUAAGCAUGUAGGCGG